This 94-nucleotide small RNA is filed under the name Kaistella antarctica. Its description in RNAcentral is "Chryseobacterium antarcticum Flavo-1 RNA". It matches the Rfam family "Flavo-1 RNA". The record is from RNAcentral. Lineage: Bacteria; Pseudomonadati; Bacteroidota; Flavobacteriia; Flavobacteriales; Weeksellaceae.
UUCUAGCCCUGGUUGAAAUGGAAAUCCUUUUUUUGGGCUCGGUGAGGAACGAGCCGAGACCGAAAAAAGAUUGCAAUGGAAAACAGGUGAGGUU